Molecule: ribosomal RNA, 497 nt
Filed under: uncultured bacterium
Lineage: Bacteria
Description: partial 16S ribosomal RNA
Rfam family: Bacterial small subunit ribosomal RNA
Source: RNAcentral
GAGGAAAGCUGGCGGCGUGCCUAGUACAUGCAAGUCGAGCGAACAGACGAGGAGCUUGCUCCUCUGACGUUAGCGGCGGACGGGUGAGUAACACGUGGAUAACCUACCUAUAAGACUGGGAUAACUUCGGGAAACCGGAGCUAAUACCGGAUAAUAUAUUGAACCGCAUGGUUCAAUAGUGAAAGACGGUUUUGCUGUCACUUAUAGAUGGAUCCGCGCCGCAUUAGCUAGUUGGUAAGGUAACGGCUUACCAAGGCAACGAUGCGUAGCCGACCUGAGAGGGUGAUCGGCCACACUGGAACUGAGACACGGUCCAGACUCCUACGGGAGGCAGCAGUAGGGAAUCUUCCGCAAUGGGCGAAAGCCUGACGGAGCAACGCCGCGUGAGUGAUGAAGGUCUUCGGAUCGUAAAACUCUGUUAUUAGGGAAGAACAAAUGUGUAAGUAACUAUGCACGUCUUGACGGUACCUAAUCAGAAAGCCACGGCUAACUACGUG